CACGUAGGGUGCGAGCGUUGUCCGGAAUUAUUGGGCGUAAAGAGCUCGUAGGCGGUGUGUCGCGUCGGCCGUGAAAACCUGCAGCUUAACUGUGGGCUUGCGGUCGAUACGGGCAUCACUGGAGUUCGGCAGGGGAGACUGGAAUUCCUGGUGUAGCGGUGAAAUGCGUAGAGAUCCGGAGGAACACCAGUGGCGAAGGCGACGCGCUGGGCCGUACCUGACACUGAUGCGCGACAGCAUGGGGAGCAAACAGG
RNAcentral lists this ribosomal RNA (254 nucleotides) under uncultured bacterium. RNAcentral's name for it is "partial 16S ribosomal RNA". It matches the Rfam family "Bacterial small subunit ribosomal RNA", at positions 524 to 776 of the family's 1533-position model. The record is from RNAcentral.